GACGAACGCUGGCGGCGUGCCUAAUACAUGCAAGUCGAACGAAGCUGUUUUAACUGGUGCUUGCACCGACUUAAACAACUGAGUGGCGAACGGGUGAGUAACACGUGGGUAACCUGCCCCAAAGCGGGGGAUAACAUUUGGAAACAGAUGCUAAUAACGCAUAACCACAGAAACCACAUGGUUUCUGUGUCAAAGAUGGUUUCGGCUAUCACCUUGGGAUGGACCCGCGGCGUAUUAGCUAGUUGGUAAGGUAAUGGCUUACCAAGGCAAUGAUACGUAGCCGAACUGAGAGGUUGAUCGGCCACAUUGGGACUGAGACACGGCCCAAACUCCUACGGGAGGCAGCAGUAGGGAAUCUUCCACAAUAGACGAAAGUCUGAUGGAGCAACGCCGCGUGAGUGAAGAAGGUUUUCGGAUCGUAAAACUCUGUUGUCAGAGAAGAACGUGUGCGAGAGUAACUGUUCGUGCAGUGACGGUAUCUGGCCAGAAAGCCACGGCUAACUACGUGCCAGCAGCCGCCGCCG
RNAcentral lists this ribosomal RNA (524 nucleotides) under uncultured bacterium. RNAcentral describes it as "partial 16S ribosomal RNA". It matches the Rfam family "Bacterial small subunit ribosomal RNA", at positions 28 to 523 of the family's 1533-position model. The record is from RNAcentral.